GGUAGUGAUGGUGACGGUGGCGGCGGUGGCGGCGGCCGUUCUCGGAAGAGGUGGCCGCGCCGUGAAGACGCGCGGGGGAUGGAAAAACGACAGGGAAAGCUCGUAGCGGGCUACCGGUUACUACGCGGACGCAUGCCCGCUGAUAGCUCAGUGGAGCGCGCGACUUCGUGCCGUAAGCACAUUUCCUGCGAGUGGAUCUCUCUCUUCUCUCUGCCCCUCUCUUUCUCACACGUACACACAUACAUACGUACACCCUAUAGCUCUCUUUCUCUUUCUCACCCUUUCUGCUCUUAUCGGAUGUGUAAGUGUAGGUACGCGUGUGCGCGUUUCUUUCUCGCCUCCCCCUCGUCUUGCCUUGCUUCACCUCACCCCUCCUCUCCUCUGCUGUCUGUCUCCACCUCGGCUUUGCUCAUCGCCGCGAGGACGGCAGGCACAUCCGCCGGCAAAUAAAACCCGUGUUGGGCGAUGCGGCGGCGGGGGUGGUGAUAAUCGCGGAAGAAAGGAAGCAAGAGGAAACGUCGGGCAUCCUAAAGGACCUUUCAUGCGUAUAACAUCGGGCUAGCGAAACGAAGAUCAAAAGUAAUAACGAGGGGUUGUCGAAAAGAUAGUGAAUAAGAUUUAGAGGGAGAAAUAUUUAAAAAUAAUUAAGAGACGCGCGCGAAAAAGUAAGGUGGAAAAGAAGAUAAAAUUUGAACAAAAAUGAAAGAAUCAACAAGAAGAAGGGAGAAUAAGGAAGGGAGAGGAAGAAGAGAGAGAGAGAGAGAGAGAGAGAGAGAGAACAUCUGUAAUAUCAGAAAAUCUUGAGUUAAAACGGCAUGUUUGUGUUUUUUCUUCCCAGAUGUAGAGCGAGGUGCAAAUAUCUUGUAAAGUGCAACGUAAUAAUCCUGUUUCGUAAAAAAAAAAAAUUGAAAUUGGAAGAAAGCUACGGAGCUUCUUAUAAAGAGUCGUGAAGAUUGCAGAUUUCAUCGAAGUAACGUGACGAAGAAUAUAAAACGAGAAGAGAGAGGAUCUACUUAUUUUUUCGCGUAAUCCAGGAGAAAGAAUCCACGACAGAACGUUGAUCACGAAAUCUGCGAACAGUAAUGGUCGAGGAAGAUAUAAAAAGGCAAAGAGGAGAAGAGAAUUACGGGUAAUGACAUAAAGUAAAAAUAUUAAGUGAAAAUCGAGUGUCACAAGAUGUGAACCAUAAAGUGAUUUCGAAGUGACAAGCGUAUUGAACACGAUCAAACGGCGAGAUUCUGCUUUCAGCUCCGACCUCUCUUCCAGUUUCGCUCGUUCCAUUGUCAAGAGUAUUGAUAUUUCGCUACAAACACUCAAAGACUCGUAACUGACACCGAAAGCAUGAGAGACAUAUAUUUGUCCCCGACAAAAGAUGUGUCCAAGAGCUGAUCUUAGGACUCGCUCAAGUCACUCGCCGAGUGCCAGGGGAAAGAAAAUAAUAAACGAAGACCGACAAGCACGCGGAGGAUGGAAGCAUGAUUCUGAUACCGCAAGUCCGACGAACUCGACGGAAAACUAGAAGAAGAUCGACCUGAGGUCGAAGAGAGAUCGACGACGAGGGUGGAAUGACGAGAUAUUGCGGGGAUAUGGAUACCCUCGAGGACGGCGGAGUCGGUCGAUCGCGAGGCUCGAAUCUGUUGACUUAACCGUCUCUAAGGGGAAGGUGUCUCGGUAUGCGUCCGAUGGAACCGGACGGGACGUUGUCGUACUUCUGUUUAAGUUACACAUUACAAGAGAUUACGUUCGCGACAUGACUUCGGCAAAGAAAAUUACCGCGUAUCGUUGACGUCACUCGCAGAAUAUCAAUGUCCUCGAAGGGAGACUCGCGCCUUUCGCUAAUGUCGUCGCAGGAGAUUAUUUCGAGUCGGCGUCGAUCUCUGAUAUUUUCUGUGGCAUGUACGUGACCCCAACGACGUGGAAAGACAUUUGCGGCAGCAUAGCCUCGAAAAGACCCGCUACUGAGGGCGGUACAGCCUUGUGCCCCUGGCACGGUACCGUUUCCUGAAGAACGAGGCUGAGUGUGUGUGCAUGUGUGUAUGUGUGUAUGUGUGUGUGCGAUUGUGUGCAAGAGGAAAAAACACGGGAAACUCAAAGGUACCUUUCGUGCGGUGGUACCUGCGGCUGAGUGUCUCUUUAAAUCGCUUCAAUUGCCAACGUCUCGUAUCUGGUGCUUGCAAAACCGUAUCGGAUCGUCCAAGAUCAAUUGUGCGAGUCGAUAUCAAACGGUACCGUUCGAAGGAUGAAACAAUCCGGCGAAGCAUCGUGAGGAGUAGCAAAAGAGCGCAUGUAUCUUGGUCGUUAGACGAUGACCGAUUGGCCGUCGUCGUGGUGGAGAUGACUACCAGGUUAGUGGCUCGUCCUGAAGACGACGACGACGACGACGAGGUCCACGAAGGGGCACAAGACUCGGCCGUGGGCUAUCACUGCCACUGAUAGAGCCGGCAUCUCGUCGCAGCUCACAUCGAUGCCGACUGCCACAUCCACGAAACAAGGAAUGGGGAGUGUCGGCAGCAACGUGACAGGGACGACGACGACAGAUCCGACGACGUUCCUGCCAGACGCAACGCCGACUCUAAGCGAGCGCGAACAGGUCAAAAUCGAAUUUUACAAAACGUACGACGUCAUGACGGGGGUACGGAUCGCCGCAACCCUCGGCGGCUUUUUCAGCUUGAUGGUGUUGCUGGUAGUUUAUAAGAGCAGAUGCAAAGCAAGCAAACAACUGGAAGACCCGGCUUUGACUGCGGCGGCAGCCGCGGCGGUUGCGGAAGCUGAAGCCGAAGAACGCGCACUCGCCGCCGCUCUUGAGGCGAUCGCCAGGUUACCACCCAGGCCGGGGCCGAGAGGGCCAAGAAGAUCAUUGUGCGUCGAGAUGAACCAGGCUCAUUCACCCGUGGUGGCACCUCGCUUCGCCUCAGUCGGAGGUGGAUACGACGCCCUGCUGGCACCGCCAAUCAGGCAACCGAGGUUGGCUCUCCCGGUCGAUCACAGAAGAUGUAGCUCGGUCACCUGUAGCAGCACUGGAAGUAGUUAUCUGGAACGAAGGGGUUCAGCCAUGGUAAUGCCGUGCCUUCCACCUCCUCCAUCCUACCCGCGUCACGCCGCCUACGAUGAGCCAUGGGAUUUAUAUUAUCCUAUCGAUAUCCAGGUAAUACAGCCAACUCCGGAUUUAUCGCCAUGCGGUAGCGAGGUCGGUCUUUAUGCCGGUGCAGUCGGCAGCCUUAUGGCGGUAUCGUCGGGGAAAAGGGCGCCGUUGGCAUCGAUGGGUAGCAUGGAUCCCCCCGAUCCGGACACAAGGUCGCUUGGCUCCGAUUCCGUCUUCCUGAAGAACGAGGACGAGGAGCAAUGCGUCGACACUGAGGACGAGGUCUCGGGUUUUUCUACGGACUCGGACGCGCCUGGGCCAAGUUGUCGGCGGUUCCUACGGGUGCCUUCUAAGAAAAAACGAAUCCCCGAGAAAUGGGAUGGAUGCGCGGGCUGCGUGCCCAGGCGACGGGCCGGUAGUAAACCAUGCCAAGAAUGUUUGACCAUCAGUGCCGCCGUCGAAACCUCUAGGUCGCAACCAGCCUCAACGACAACCAGUAGCAGUCAGAGUAGUGUGGGAUCCCCACCGUGUUCACCGCCGAUCGAGUUGAGGCACAGACCACCACCAGCGCCAUUACCAUCAGUCCCGCAAAUAUGGUCCCAAGAAACGCUCUUUUAGGAUGCGUCUUUCGUAGUGAGCAUGUCCUUCGACCUGUUUUUAUCGAGAUACGAAGCUAAAACCAGAAUGUCGAUAUCUGAGGAAAUCAUUUGCCCAAAGAAUUGACCAUUAGCUACUCUUUCAUUGUCUAAAAAAUAAUUUUUUUUUUUAGUCUGUCGCCAUAUAUAUUUUAUGCAAAUUUUAAAAUUUAAUCGCCAUAUCGGUGAAUAAACUAUUCAACUAUUACUUCACGGAUGCAACAAUUGCUGUGUGGAAUUUAUGUAAUUCUAAAUUUUGAGAUGCAACGAAAUUAUAAGCAUACAACAUUAUAUCAUUGGACACUAUAAUCUUUACAAAUCGUAAAAAUAAAAAAAAAGUUACGUCAAGUACAAAAGCUAACCGAUGAAGGGAAAAGACGGUAGAACGUACCAGAGCGAGAUGUGAAAGAAAAUCGUCAGAAAGCAUUUUCUCGUCCGAAUGUGAGGAAAUAUCGGAGAUUUUUGAUAUUACGGCAGUGACUGCCGUUCCAGAAUCGGAGCAAACCCAUCUUAAAGGUAGUCUAAAUCGAUCAUUUUACGUUGACUGUGUGGUACAUUCCAUGGCAAGCACGCAAUCCGUGUCGGAUUACCCGCCCGUUUAAACGAUGCGUCUACGAGUCGCAAGACGGGGCCGACGGCGACUUAGUCUAACUAUACCCAAGAUCUCAUCUACCGACAUAUUUCAGACGUCUGCCUAUUCCCCGUCAUACACCAGAAGAAGUUCGCGAACAAUGCAUACUCGCGCGGUCGGGUUUAUUUGAAAGUUCACAUAACAGCAUUGUGAAUCUAACAUAACCGCCAGCAUCCCAACCAGCACCAGGGAAGGUACGCGCAAUUUAUCUAGCAUCGCGCAAACCCCGUGCUCCACCGCAAUCUCAUUUUGUUGAAGAAAUUUCGGCGACUUGAUUAUUUUCCGUCAUUCAGUCAUACUUUCGACAUAACACGGCCAGGCGCACAUCAGCAUCCGUGAUUCAUUUAACAACGAAAACAAGCAAAUGCUUUUCCUCGUUUAAGACAUUCGUGGCGUCCCAAUUGGCGACGAAUUGCCGUUCCAAUUGGCGUUCGACCGUUCGAGAUAUCGAGCGGUCGAACUUGGGAUAAGGACGCAUGGUGAUCUAUAUCGCACAAAGGAAUAUCUGAGAAACGAGUGGAGAAACUCGUUCCAAUCGAUCAGGGUGAACCGCGUUAACUCACAACUCAGGAGACUGUCGAAGGAAGGCCGAUCGACAAUGUCGCGGGAAAAAUAGGGAAUUAUUUUUAUACAAGCGCGACGAUAAUCAAGCUCGUUGAACUGAUCGUGAUGCUUCUCGUGAAAACAAUAAUAUGCGCGCAAUACUCGAUUGUACGUCAGUGUAACAUGUGAUUAUCAACGAGACGAGCGGAUGGGAGAGUGAAACAGAAAGAAACGAGAGAAAGAGAGAGAGAGAGAGAAAGAGAGCGAAAGAAAUCUGAGAGUGAAAAAGAGAAAUAAGGGAAAUAGCACUUUCUUUCGGAUAAUCGUCGAAUCGGUCGUGAUUUUCCCGACAGGGCAAACCACCGAUUCGCCGUCGAUCCAACGUUUCCCUAACGCGAAGAAACAAAACGUAUUUCUAUUCGUGUAAUCUUGUAAGCUCUGUAAGGUUUUGGGUGUACGUGUACGUGUCUAUAAUCCUCUUGCGUACGAUAGAUAAACACCGUGCUCGAUGGAGGGGAACCGGAAACAGAGCGAUAUUGCUGUAAACGAUCUCGGUCAAUCAGAGUUGCCGAAUCAUCCGUAUCGAGUUUCCUAAUCAUCCGUAUUUUUGAAAGGUCUAUUUCAUCGGUUGCACCGCAAAGUUGUUUAAUAAAUUUCUAUCCGGGCUGGGAAUAUAUCGAUCGCUUGAAUAUUCCGGAAGCAAACAUCCCCGCAAUUAGGUCCGAUCUAAAUAAAAAGUAAAAUACUCGAAAGAGAAAUAAGAAGAAGACUAUAUAAAAUUGCUUUAGUUCCUUAUAUAUGUAAUCCCCGUCAAUUCAUCAGUGAUAUUAGCUGACGAGAAGCUCACUGGGUGUAGAAAAUCGAGUUUAUUAAAAUGUUAGAUUGCGUCUCGAUGUAAAGAACAAAAAGAUAAAAAGAUAUGUAUAGUAGAUGAGACAUAUUUAUCGUUGACAAGAGCGACUUGUGUCUAUUUUCGAUAAAACGUAGUUGAACCAGGCGAAUCAUAUAUGCCUCUAUGUCUACAUCUGGAGAAUUUUCCGUGGAGGCUAACAUCACUGCCGGUCAGCCCCUCCAGGCACACGACGAUAAACGAAUAAAAACAAAUAAGAGAAAAUACAGUAAGAUACAUUUACGUAAAAGCAAAACGAGCGCACGAGGGCUACCUACCGUUGUUCUAGUCAAGAGUUUGUAUAGUAGACAAAUAAGACGAGCCGAAAAGUUAUUAUAUCGGGAUAAUAAAACAAGAAAAAAAGAGAAGAAAUAUAACGUAAUAAGCGCCACGCACGCAGUGCUGCGACCGUUACUUUUAGAUAGGUGUACAUACACAUCGUGUUACGAUGCAUUACGUUACGUUGAGCGUAUACGACAGCGACUCGCCCUCGCCAUUCGACUAAAGAGCGAAGGAGAGAAGGCGAGACUCUAGCGUCGUCUACGUGAAGAAGAGACUUUAUAUUACGUUGGCUGCGUUCCAAACUUCGUCCCGGAGGUACGAAUUUAACAAGCCGCAAAACAAGACGCGAAAUACGAGAAAUGCAGAGAAAAUACAUAGUUGGACGACUAUAUGAAACUAUAGACCCAUAUAAUUCCUUCUAGUAAUUUAUAUACGGCUAUCCGUUACACUCUCGGCCAUUAAGCAAGAAACAUCAAGUUUUGCGGACCUAAGAGAUUGUGAGAAAGUUUCUCAAAGAGAAAGAGAGAGGGGGAGAAAGAGAGAGAGAGAGAGAGAUGGCUGAAGGUGUCCAAAGUUCAAGGAAUACAUGUAAAAGUUUCAUGAUAAAUAAGGGGAAGUCCUAAUUGGAUAUCGUAUGCCUUAUUGAAUUAUUGUUAUAUAUAUAUACAUAUAAAAGCCGACAUUUCACUUGAGAAUUACGAUGACUUCCGUGAGGAAGUAGUCGUCACAGGAGACGAAGUUCUAGAACGCAGCUGUAGGAGAAUAAAACAGAAUUAUUACUACCGCGAGGUGUGCGCUUUGCUAUACGCCGGCACGCUGAUGAAUUCGUUCCGACCGGAUUCCUUCCAUUGAAACGUGUCACCGUCGUUUCCCUUUUUGUAACGAUAAUAUGUUGAAAACGAUUAAGAAAAGAUCUAUUCAAAAUUUCUUGCGCUUCCUUAGGAUAAGCGGAUUAGCGAAUAAUUAUGCACUGUGUAGUUCUGUCGUAGCUGUCAACCCGAAGGUUAUUCUCGCGCGUAGGCGAAAAUCAAGUAUACAUUUCUCGUUUGCAUUCUUGAAGUGAUUAACCGGGAACAAAGUUCUCAGCGGCGCGUGGCGUGCAGCACGUCGCCCCAUAGUCGCGUAAGACAAGGAGCUUGAAAACUCGCGAGUGCUGCCGAAUUGCCAAAUGUAACAAUCAAACAGUGUCUAGUUGGUAUAAAAUUCAAAAAGAGCCGAGGAUAAUCUAUUCGGAUAUACAUACGCGCGAAUAGAUAUGCGUGAAUGCGCGAUUGUGCGUGCGUGUGCGUGUGCCAAGUAGUUUAGCACAAUUUAGGCGGGCGGAACAUAUACAUAUGCAUACAUAUAUUAUAUAUACAUAUAUAAAUAGGGCGAGUGCGAGACUUUUUAGAGACUGUACACGAACGAGUCCGUGUCGAUUGAUUUUAGCAUCUAACGUUCGUACAAUCACGUGAACCUUUUCUCGGUGCCUUUCUGCUGCACUUCUUCCAUCGUCGUUUAGAAAAAUAUACACUCUCUUCACUAUCCUCAUCAACCAUUCUCUUUUCUAUCUCUCUUCUCUUAUACUGACUACUUUUUAGGAGGUGUUUCCGCGCGACGCCGCAAGAAAUCUGAACGUAUCAAAGUAAAAUCUUUUUUCUUCGCAUUUCUUCCUUUCAAUUUAAUCCUUUAGUUCUUUUAUCUCUAGCUAAAAGAAAGUCAAAUAGUAAAAAUAAUUUUAUUCAAGAGUGUCCAGAAAGUAAAGAACAAUAGCGACCGAACGCAUUAAUAAUAUAAAACUACUAUUUUUGAAAAAAAUUAUAUUAAUUAAAUGAAAAUUAUUAUCUUUGUCAAAGGUAGAAUUAAUUGUUAAUUUAAAAGAGUUAAAAAUAUAACAUUUCUUUCUUUUUUACUUUUUAAAUAUACUAGACAUUAUAUAUACUCAGAAUAUUUUUAACCCAUGACGUCUAUACAUUCAAACGCUGAAUAGCAAAUUUUUUUACGUGUUAGCGACUCUGUCGAUUAAGUUAAUUGGAAUUAAUUGAAGUGACCCUGAUGUCGAUUCUACCAAUGCGUAAAUUACUUUUAAUAAAUGACGUCACAAAUCUACAUAAGUAUCGUUCUGCCUUUGUUAUUUAUUAAAUGCUAAGAAAAAUAGAACGUUUGUUUGACACGCCUCAUUGGGUAUAUCCAUUAUAUAUUUAAAAGAUGCGUCAUAGGAAGUAGGUAAAGAGGGGCCAAGGAGUUAAAAGCAGUAAAUCGGUGUCUUUCGAUGCAAUGAAAACUUUGUGACAAAGUAGAUGUGUGAGCAGUUUUUGUAAAAAUUCUCUAUAACAACCCUCCACGAUGAACCGUGUUAAUCGCGAGAACGAGACUUGGACUUGGUGGGAGAACAUGCAAGAGAUAAAUGAUAACGAAACCAAGUGUAUAGCAAGAACGGCCUCAAAAACGGUACAGAGAUAUUCCGUCGACCGACACGAUGGGAUAACGGUGUUCAAUUACGAAAUUCGGAAAGAGUGAUACUUCGAAAGCAGACGUAAAUAUUGAAAUAUUUUCAGUCGCUAUCUCUUAUGGAUAUUUUGCGAUUAUUUAUACUUUUCAAAAACAUUGCACAAAAGCAUCGAUUAUAUAAUAAAUAUAAGACCUUACAUAAUAUUUAUAUAACUAAUAUUGUGUACUACGUAAAACUAAAAAGCAGUAAAACAAAAAAA
Molecule: long non-coding RNA, 8752 nt
Filed under: Monomorium pharaonis (pharaoh ant)
Lineage: Eukaryota; Metazoa; Arthropoda; Insecta; Hymenoptera; Formicidae
Description: kynurenine/alpha-aminoadipate aminotransferase, mitochondrial, transcript variant X1
Source: RNAcentral